UACGAAGGGGGCUAGCGUUGUUCGGAAUUACUGGGCGUAAAGCGCACGUAGGCGGUUUGUUAAGUUAGGGGUGAAAUCCCAGGGCUCAACCCUGGAACUGCCUUUAAUACUGGCAAUCUCGAGUCCGAGAGAGGUGAGUGGAAUUCCGAGUGUAGAGGUGAAAUUCGUAGAUAUUCGGAGGAACACCAAUGGCGAAGGCGGCUCACUGGCUCGGUACUGACGCUGAGGUGCGAAAGCGUGGGGAGCAAACAGG
RNAcentral lists this ribosomal RNA (253 nucleotides) under uncultured bacterium. RNAcentral describes it as "partial 16S ribosomal RNA". It matches the Rfam family "Bacterial small subunit ribosomal RNA", at positions 524 to 776 of the family's 1533-position model. The record is from RNAcentral.